UGGGGAAUCUUGCGCAAUGGGGGAAACCCUGACGCAGCGACGCCGCGUGAGUGAUGAAGGCCUUCGGGUUGUAAAGCUCUGUGGAGAGGGACGAAUAAGUGCAGUCGAAUAGGCUGCAUGAUGACGGUACCUUUUAGCAAGCACCGGCUAACUCUGUGCCAGCAGCCGCGGUAAUACAGAGGGUGCAAACGUUGUUCGGAUUUACUGGGCGUAAAGCGCGUGUAGGCUGCUUGGAAAGUCGGAUGUGAAA
RNAcentral lists this ribosomal RNA (250 nucleotides) under uncultured bacterium. Its description in RNAcentral is "partial 16S ribosomal RNA". It matches the Rfam family "Bacterial small subunit ribosomal RNA", at positions 355 to 599 of the family's 1533-position model. The record is from RNAcentral.